Molecule: ribosomal RNA, 368 nt
Filed under: uncultured organism
Description: bacterial SSU rRNA
Rfam family: Bacterial small subunit ribosomal RNA
Source: RNAcentral
CGGAGGGUGCAAGCGUUAUCCGGAUUCACUGGGUUUAAAGGGUGCGUAGGUGGGCUAGUAAGUCCGUGGUGAAAUCUCCGAGCUUAACUCGGAAACUGCCGUGGAUACUAUUAGUCUUGAAUCUCGUGGAGGUAAGCGGAAUAUGUCAUGUAGCGGUGAAAUGCUUAGAUAUGACAUAGAACACCGAUAGCGAAGGCAGCUUGCUACACGAGUAUUGACACUGAGGCACGAAAGCGUGGGGAUCAAACAGGAUUAGAUACCCUGGUAGUCCACGCCCUAAACGAUGGAUACUCGACAUACGCGAUACACAGUGUGUGUCUGAGCGAAAGCAUUAAGUAUCCCACCUGGGAAGUACGACCGCAAGGUUG